UACGUAGGGGGCAAGCGUUGUCCGGAUUUAUUGGGCGUAAAGCGCGUGUAGGCGGCUUGGUAGGUCCGCUGUGAAAACUCGAGGCUCAACCUCGAGCUGUCGGUGGAAACCACCUUGCUAGAGUCCGGAAGAGGAGAGUGGAAUUCCUGGUGUAGCGGUGAAAUGCGCAGAUAUCAGGAAGAACACCAAUGGCGAAGGCAGCUCUCUGGGACGGUACUGACGCUGAGACGCGAAAGCGUGGGGAGCGAACAGG
This 253-nucleotide ribosomal RNA is filed under the name uncultured bacterium. Its description in RNAcentral is "partial 16S ribosomal RNA". It matches the Rfam family "Bacterial small subunit ribosomal RNA", at positions 524 to 776 of the family's 1533-position model. The record is from RNAcentral.